GAAACAGACAGAAUUCAGGGUGUCCUCCAUGAAUUUGCAAAUUCUUCUUUUGCAUGUGUUUAUACUUUCAUGGUCCCUGAGAAGGAGAUUUUACCUUUGGGAAGGACUACUUCCAUGUAGCAGGGCCCUGAGGAGUCGAGAAGGAAAGCACAAGGGAAGCAGAUGGCUGGCUGAAAUGCUUGUGAAAAGAAAACUAAUUACAGAAGAUGAAUACUGACUUCCUUUGGGUAUUCAGUGGCAACAACGUCAAUGUUAAAGUGAGAAGUACUGGAGAGGACGGAGACAUAAAGAGGAAAUAAAGGAGAAAAGAGAAUGGAGAAGAAUUGUGAG
RNAcentral lists this long non-coding RNA (330 nucleotides) under Apteryx rowi (Okarito brown kiwi). RNAcentral's name for it is "lncRNA (ENSARWG00000017773.1)". Lineage: Eukaryota; Metazoa; Chordata; Aves; Apterygiformes; Apterygidae. The record is from RNAcentral.